This 30-nucleotide non-coding RNA is filed under the name Rattus norvegicus (Norway rat). The record is from RNAcentral. Lineage: Eukaryota; Metazoa; Chordata; Mammalia; Rodentia; Muridae.
UUUCAAGGAUACCAAUUUCAUGGAAAUAGA